GUUCGCAUAAGCCAGUGGUCGAGCUCCGCGUAAGCGGGUGGCGAUGGUUCGAAUCCAUCUGUGGACU
This 67-nucleotide transfer RNA is filed under the name Tianweitania sediminis. RNAcentral describes it as "tRNA-OTHER". It matches the Rfam family "tRNA". From Rfam's summary of the family: Transfer RNA (tRNA) molecules are approximately 80 nucleotides in length. Their secondary structure includes four short double-helical elements and three loops (D, anti-codon, and T loops). Lineage: Bacteria; Pseudomonadati; Pseudomonadota; Alphaproteobacteria; Hyphomicrobiales; Phyllobacteriaceae. The record is from RNAcentral.